Pongo abelii (Sumatran orangutan) is the source of this 148-nucleotide unclassified non-coding RNA. It matches the Rfam family "Metazoan signal recognition particle RNA". Rfam says of the family: The signal recognition particle (SRP) is a universally conserved ribonucleoprotein. The record is from Ensembl. NCBI's taxonomy places the organism in Eukaryota, Metazoa, Chordata, Mammalia, Primates, Hominidae.
GCUGGGCAUGGUGGUGCGUGCCUGUAAUCCCAGCUACUCAGGAAGCUGAGGCAGGAGAAUCACUUGAACCCAGGAGGCGGAGGUUACAAAGAGUCAAGAUUGUGCCACUGCACUCCGGCCUGGGCAACAGAGUGAGACCCUGCCUUAA